RNAcentral lists this transfer RNA (59 nucleotides) under Gargara sp. 16071360. RNAcentral describes it as "tRNA-Cys". The record is from RNAcentral. Lineage: Eukaryota; Metazoa; Arthropoda; Insecta; Hemiptera; Membracidae. RNAcentral also lists the same sequence under 1 other name.
GUUUUAAUAGUUUAAAAAAUGUUAAAUUGCAAAUUUAAGGAUACCUUGUGUUUAAAACU